Molecule: ribosomal RNA, 423 nt
Filed under: uncultured bacterium
Lineage: Bacteria
Description: bacterial SSU rRNA
Rfam family: Bacterial small subunit ribosomal RNA
Source: RNAcentral
AAGACCUUGCGCUUUUGGAGCGGCCGAUGCCUGAUUAGCUUGUUGGUAAGGUAAAGGCUUACCAAGGCUUCGAUCAGUAGCUGGUCUGAGAGGACGACCAGCCACACUGGGACUGAGACACGGCCCAGACUCCUACGGGAGGCAGCAGUGGGGAAUUUUGGACAAUGGGGGCAACCCUGAUCCAGCCAUGCCGCGUGAGUGAAGAAGGCCUUCGGGUUGUAAAGCUCUUUCAGCCGGAACGAAACGGUUACGGAUAAUACCCGUGACUACUGACGGUACCGGAAGAAGAAGCACCGGCUAACUACGUGCCAGCAGCCGCGGUAAUACGUAGGGUGCAAGCGUUAAUCGGAAUUACUGGGCGUAAAGCGUGCGCAGGUGGUUUUGUAAGUCAGAUGUGAAAGCCCCGGGCUCAACCUGGGAACU